GCUUCAGCCACAUGGACAUAGCACAAUAGUGCAUAAAUGUCAACUCUCUGAGCUUUAAUUUAAGAAGAAGAAAAGGAAUCCACCAGAAUCUUGAAGGACACACCAGAUUCCGGGAAGGAGAAUGGAGGCAAACUGCCCCCAUGAUGGCAUCCAGCUAAUAAAACCAAAUAGGAAGAGCUCUGGUCUGCAGCUCCCAGUGUGAUCAAUGCAAGAUGGGUGAUUUCUGCAUUUCCAACUGAGCUACCUGAUUCAUCUCAUUGGGACUGAUUGGACAGUGAGUUCAUCCCACGGAGGGUGAGCUGAAGCAGGGCAGGGCAUCAACUCACCCAGGAAGUGCAAGGGGUUGGGGGAUUUUCCUUUCCUAGCCAAAGGAAGGCAUGACAGACUGUACCUGGAAAAACAGGACACUCUUGCCCAAAUGGACAUAAAUGACCUGAUGGAGCUGAAAAAACACAGCUCGAGAACUUCAUGAAGCAUACACAAGUCUCAAUAGCCAAAGUGACCAAGCGGAAGAAAGGAUAUCAGAGUUUGAAGACCACCUUGCUGAAAUAAAGCAUGCAGACAAGAUUAGAGAAAAAAGAAUGAAAAAGAAUGAACAAAGCCUCCAAGAAAUAUGGGACUAUGUAAAAAGACCGAACCUACUAUUGAUUGGAGUACCUGAAGGAGAUCGAGCAAAUGGAAAUGAGCUGGAAAACACUCUUCAGGCUGGGACUACACAGCCAAGGUUUUAUAUACAGGAGAACUUCCCCAACCUAGCAAGACAGGCCAACAUGCAAAUUCAGGAAAUACAGAGAACACCACUAAGAUACUCCUCGAGAAGAUCACCCCCAA
Long non-coding RNA from Homo sapiens (human), 831 nucleotides. Lineage: Eukaryota; Metazoa; Chordata; Mammalia; Primates; Hominidae. The record is from Ensembl.